This 429-nucleotide ribosomal RNA is filed under the name Chloroflexota bacterium. Its description in RNAcentral is "Chloroflexi bacterium partial 16S ribosomal RNA". It matches the Rfam family "Bacterial small subunit ribosomal RNA", at positions 355 to 776 of the family's 1533-position model. Lineage: Bacteria; Bacillati; Chloroflexota. The record is from RNAcentral.
UGGGGAAUAUUGCACAAUGGGCGCAAGCCUGAUGCAGCCAUGCCGCGUGUGUGAAGAAGGCCUUCGGGUUGUAAAGCACUUUCAGCGGGGAGGAAGGCGGUGAGGUUAAUAACCUCACCGAUUGACGUUACCCGCAGAAGAAGCACCGGCUAACUCCGUGCCAGCAGCCGCGGUAAUACGGAGGGUGCAAGCGUUAAUCGGAAUUACUGGGCGUAAAGCGCACGCAGGCGGUCUGUCAAGUCGGAUGUGAAAUCCCCGGGCUCAACCUGGGAACUGCAUUCGAAACUGGCAGGCUAGAGUCUUGUAGAGGGGGGUAGAAUUCCAGGUGUAGAGGUGAAAUGCGUAGAGAUCUGGAGGAAUACCGGUGGCGAAGGCGGCCCCCUGGACAAAGACUGACGCUCAGGUGCGAAAGCGUGGGGAGCAAACAGG